AGCCCUGUAGUGAACUCUCACAUUGAACUGCAAAUUCAAAGAAGCAGCCUGGACGCCGCCGGGGCUUC
This 68-nucleotide transfer RNA is filed under the name Lycaon pictus (African hunting dog). RNAcentral describes it as "tRNA-Cys". Lineage: Eukaryota; Metazoa; Chordata; Mammalia; Carnivora; Canidae. The record is from RNAcentral.